This 590-nucleotide ribosomal RNA is filed under the name uncultured crenarchaeote. Its description in RNAcentral is "bacterial SSU rRNA". It matches the Rfam family "Archaeal small subunit ribosomal RNA", at positions 851 to 1441 of the family's 1478-position model. The record is from RNAcentral. Lineage: Archaea; Thermoproteati; Thermoproteota.
GAAACUUAAAGGAAUUGGCGGGGGAGCACCACAAGGCGUGAAGCUUGCGGUUCAAUUGGAGUCAACGCCGGGAACCUUACCGGGGGCGACAGCAGUAUGAAGGCCAGAUUGAAGGUCUUGCUAGACAAGCUGAGAGGAGGUGCAUGGCCGUCGCCAGUUCGUGCCGUGAGGUGUCCUGUUAAGUCAGGCAACGAUCGAGACCCACGCUUUUAGUUGCUACCGAGGAAGUUUUCCGAGGGGCACUCUGAAGGGACUGCCGUCGACAAGACGGAGGAAGGAGUGGGCUACGGCAGGUCAGUAUGCCCCGAAUCCCCCGGGCUACACGCGAGCUGCAAUGGCAGAGACAAUGGGUCCCAACCCUGAAAAGGGACGGUAAUCUCGAAACUCUGCCUCAGUUUGGACUGAAGGCUGGAACCCGUCUUCACGAAAAUGGAAUGCCUAGAAAUCGCGCGUCAUCAACGCGCGGUGAAUACGUCCCCGCUCCUUGCACACACCGCCCGUCGCUCCAUCCGAGUGGGGUUUGGGUGAGGCGUGUUCUUUUUUGGCUGCGUCGAAUCUGAGUUCCGCAAGGAGGGAGAAGUCGUAAACAA